This is a small nuclear RNA of Dromiciops gliroides (monito del monte), 103 nucleotides long. The record is from RefSeq and is a predicted model, not a curated record. NCBI's taxonomy places the organism in Eukaryota, Metazoa, Chordata, Mammalia, Microbiotheria, Microbiotheriidae.
GAGCUUUGGCAGCACAUAUACUAAAAUUGGAACGAUACAGAGAAGAUUAGCAUGGCCCUUGCACAAAAAUGACACACAGAUUUGUGAAGAAAGAGAGACAGAC